RNAcentral lists this long non-coding RNA (521 nucleotides) under Mus pahari (shrew mouse). Its description in RNAcentral is "lncRNA (MGP_PahariEiJ_G0004071.1)". Lineage: Eukaryota; Metazoa; Chordata; Mammalia; Rodentia; Muridae. The record is from RNAcentral.
UUACCUGUUUUCAUGGAACACUUGCUUGAACCAUGCUAAAGACUCACAAUCCUACUGAUGGACAACUGUAGUGUUUGAAUGAGAGGUAUCCUCCAUAGGCUAUGUAUUUGAACACUUGUUUCCCAGUUGGUGAUGUUUAGAGAGGCUAUGAAACUGUUAGGAGGUGUGACUCUGUUAAAGGAUGCCACACAGGGUGGUCAAUGAGAUUUUAGAGCCUUACCACACUUCCAGAUCACUCUGUCUGCUUCCCACAUGUGAAUGGAGAGUGACAUCUCAGCUUGCUGAUCUGGACACCUGCUGCCAUGCCUCCUGUCACUGGGUGGCCUGAUGUCUGAUGCUGUUUGUGUCCUAUAGCUAAAACUCAUUCCUCAAGGUACGCACAGCCAUAGCCAGUUUUCUGGAGACCCAAACUCAAGAUCUCAUGAUGAGCAUCACAGAAGGCCCAUUCAGCCCAAGCUAUAUAUGGAAUCCUUUCAAGAACCAACCAACAGUAAUAAACAAUGCUUGCCUUCCACUCUAUA